This is a long non-coding RNA of Micropterus salmoides (largemouth bass), 398 nucleotides long. RefSeq lists it as uncharacterized. The transcript is spliced from 2 exons. The record is from RefSeq and is a predicted model, not a curated record. NCBI's taxonomy places the organism in Eukaryota, Metazoa, Chordata, Actinopteri, Centrarchiformes, Centrarchidae.
CUGGGCUCAACUGGGCUGGAAAGAAGCUAAAGGACCAGACAAAACAAAAAAAAGCUUUUAAAGAGAUGGUGCUCUGCAGGUGCAUGUUUGGUUCACUCACCCUCAUCCUCAGUCAAGUCAGCUGGGCUCGCUCACCUGCCCUCUCCCCUUGGGCUUCCCCCACGGCGUCCUCCCGGCUCUCCCUCGUGCCUUCCUAGUCAGCCUGCCACCACACUCCUCCACCAACCCCCUGAUCAGUUCUCCCGUGCAUCCUCUGUUCCACGGCCCCCAGUGUCCCUCAGCUCUCUGGUCUCAGUCUCCUCGGUUCCCCGUGCCUGCAUUUCCCUGGCAUCCACCUCUCCCUGAACUCCAGUCCCUUAACCCCUUCUUUCCCCUAAUAAAAGCUGUUAAUCCCCAGA